This 256-nucleotide unclassified non-coding RNA is filed under the name Hevea brasiliensis (rubber tree). The record is from RNAcentral. Lineage: Eukaryota; Viridiplantae; Streptophyta; Magnoliopsida; Malpighiales; Euphorbiaceae.
AGAUUUGAAAGAUAACUCUUAAUUUUUUAAGAAAAAAAUGCAUUAUAUAAAAGCGUGUGGAUUGUGCAUUUGGGUGGCCUUAUAUAGAGUAUGUAGAUUGAUUAUAUAUAAAUUGAGAAAUAGAAAAAAUUCAUAUCAAAAUUAAUUAGAUCAUUAAACCAUUGUUAAUUAAAAAAAUACUUCUUUAAUUAAAAAAAUUUUAACGUUGCUAUUUAAAAUAUUAAAACUCUGAAUCAUAAUUAGUUGGGCAAAUAAG